RNAcentral lists this ribosomal RNA (494 nucleotides) under uncultured Micavibrio sp. RNAcentral describes it as "bacterial SSU rRNA". It matches the Rfam family "Bacterial small subunit ribosomal RNA", at positions 472 to 965 of the family's 1533-position model. Lineage: Bacteria; Pseudomonadati; Bdellovibrionota; Bdellovibrionia; Bdellovibrionales; Pseudobdellovibrionaceae. The record is from RNAcentral.
AUGGUAGCACCAGAAAAAGCUCCGGCUAACUUCGUGCCAGCAGCCGCGGUAAUACGAAGGGAGCGAGCGUUGUUCGGAAUCACUGGGCGUAAAGCGUGCGUAGGCGGUUUUGUAAGACAGAAGUGAAAUCCUGGAGCUUAACUCCAGAAUUGCUUUUGUGACUGCAAAGCUUGAAUCCAGGAGAGGUUGGGGGAAUUCCGAGUGUAGAGGUGAAAUUCGCAGAUAUUCGGAGGAACACCAGUGGCGUAGGCGCCCAACUGGACUGGUAUUGACGCUGAGGCACGAAAGCGUGGGGAUCAAACAGGAUUAGAUACCCUGGUAGUCCACGCCGUAAACGAUGUGUGCUAGCUGUCGGGAGUCUUAGGCUUUCGGCGGCGCAGCUAACGCACUAAGCACACCGCCUGGGAAGUACGGCCGCAAGGUUAAAACUCAAAGGAAUUGACGGGGACCCGCACAAGCGGUGGAGCAUGUUGUUUAAUUCGAAGCAACGCGAA